UACGUAGGGGGCAAGCGUUGUCCGGAAUUAUUGGGCGUAAAGGGCUCGUAGGUGGUCUGUCGCGUCGGGAGUGAAAACUCAGGGCUUAACCCUGAGCCUGCUUCCGAUACGGGCAGACUAGAGGUAUGCAGGGGAGAACGGAAUUCCUGGUGUAGCGGUGAAAUGCGCAGAUAUCAGGAGGAACACCGGUGGCGAAGGCGGUUCUCUGGGCAUUACCUGACGCUGAGGAGCGAAAGUGUGGGGAGCGAACAGG
Molecule: ribosomal RNA, 253 nt
Filed under: uncultured bacterium
Lineage: Bacteria
Description: partial 16S ribosomal RNA
Rfam family: Bacterial small subunit ribosomal RNA
Source: RNAcentral